UAUUGCACAAUGGGGGAAACCCUGAUGCAGCGACGCCGCGUGAGUGAAGAAGUAUUCCGGUGUGUAAAGCUCUAUUAGCAGGGAAGAAAAUGACGGUACCUGAUUAAGAUGCGCCGGCUAACUACGUGCCAGCACCCGCGGUAAUACGUAGGGGGCAAGCGUUAUCCGGAUUUACUGGGUGUAAAGGGAGCGUAGACGGCAGCACAAGUCUGGAGUGAAAUGCCGGGGCUUAACCCCGGAGCUGCUUUGGAAACUGUGCAGCUAGAGUGCAGGAGAGGUAAGUGGAAUUCCUAGUGUAGCGGUGAAAUGCGUAGAUAUUAGGAGGAACACCAGUGGCGAAGGCGGCUUACUGGACUGUAACUGACGUUGAGGCUCGAAAGCGUGGGGAGCAAACAGG
This 397-nucleotide ribosomal RNA is filed under the name uncultured bacterium. RNAcentral describes it as "bacterial SSU rRNA". It matches the Rfam family "Bacterial small subunit ribosomal RNA", at positions 362 to 776 of the family's 1533-position model. The record is from RNAcentral.